AUGUGCCCAGGGCCCGGGACAGCGCCACGGAAGAGGACGCACCCGGCUGUGUGCACAUGUGCCCAGGGCCCGGGACAGCGCCACGGAAGAGGACGCACCCGGCUGUGUGCACAUGUGCCCAGGGCCCGGGACAGCGCCACGGAAGAGGACGCACCCGGCUGUGUGCACAUGUGCCCAGGGCCCGGGACAGCGCCACGGAAGAGGACGCACCCGGCUGUGUGGACAUGUGCCCAGGGCCCGGGACAGCGCCACGGAAGAGGACGCACAGGACAGCGCCACGGAAGAGGACGCACCCGGCUGUGUGCACAUGUGCCCAGGGCCCGGGACAGCGCCACGGAAGAGGACGCACCCGGCUGUGUGCACAUGUGCCCAGGGCCCGGGACAGCGCCAUGGAAGAGGACGCACCCGGCUGUGUGCACAUGUGCCCAGGGCCCGGGACAGCGCCACGGAAGAGGACGCACCCGGCUGUGUGCACAUGUGCCCAGGGCCCGGGACAGCGCCACGGAAGAGGAUGCACCCGGCUGUGUGGACAUGUGCCCAGGGCCCGGGACAGCGCCACGGAAGAGGACGCACCCGGCUGUGUGGACAUGUGCCCAGGGCCCGGGACAGCGCCACGGAAGAGGACGCACCCGGCUGUGUGGACAUGUGCCCAGGGCCCGGGACAGCGCCACGGAAGAGGACGCACAGGACAGCGCCACGGAAGAGGACGCACCCGGCUGUGUGGCAGGGGAGGUUCCCAAGAGCAGGCUCAGGGCUCUGGGGUCUGAGUGAGGGCUCUCCAGCCAGCAGGGAGCAGGGCAGGGUGUUGAAGAGACGGCAGGUGCGUCAGGGGCUGACGUGGGACCCGGCACUCUGUGCUCUGUGUCUGCCCGGGAACAGGUCUGGAGGUUUGUGGAACCCAGUCCCCUGCAGAAUCUGUAAAACCUAAUAAAUCAUGGUUGUGGCC
RNAcentral lists this long non-coding RNA (946 nucleotides) under Homo sapiens (human). Lineage: Eukaryota; Metazoa; Chordata; Mammalia; Primates; Hominidae. The record is from RNAcentral.